This 460-nucleotide ribosomal RNA is filed under the name uncultured bacterium. RNAcentral describes it as "partial 16S ribosomal RNA". It matches the Rfam family "Bacterial small subunit ribosomal RNA", at positions 338 to 795 of the family's 1533-position model. The record is from RNAcentral.
CCUACGGGUGGCAGCAGUGCGGAAUAUUGGUCAAUGGCCGGAAGGCUGAACCAGCCAUGCCGCGUGACGGUCAGUGCCCUAUGGGCGUUAAACUUCUUUUGUGCGGGAGCAAUAAUGGUCACGUGUGGCCAGACGAGAGUACCGUACGAAUAAGCAUCGGCUAACUCCGUGCCAGCAGCCGCGGUAAUCCGGGGGAUGCAAGCGUUCUCCGGAUUUAUUGGGGUUACAGGGUGCGUAGGCUGUGAGGUUAGUCAGCGGUGAAAUGCCACCGCUCAACGGGGUGAAGUGCCAUUGAUACUGCCGUGCUGGAAUGCGGAUGCGGUGGGAGGAAUGUGUGGUGUAGCGGUGAAAGGCAUAGAUAUCACACAGAACACCGAUUGCGAAGGCAUCUCACGAAUCCGCGAUUGACGCUGAUGCACGAAAGCGUGGGUAUCAAACAGGAUUAGAUACCCGUGUAGUC